AAGGGAGACCUAAUUCGGGUAUAAGACGAAAAAAGAGUAGUCGAAACCAAGAAUCAAUCCCAAAAGGUCGGAACGAGGUAUGUGGCUUUCAAACUAGGUUCUGGGUUCACACAAGACCUGAAUCAGGAACAAGGGCUAUUAGCUCAGGUGGUUAGAGCGCACCCCUGAUAAGGGUGAGGUCCCUGGUUCGAGUCCAGGAUGGCCCACCUGCACAGGUGGCAAAAACAAAGAAGCGAGGAAUCAGCACCUUAUCUUACUGACAUAGUAAGAGAGAAUGCUGGCUCUGAGUAAAGAGUCCAGAGGAACCUUGAAAACUGCAUAGAGCUAGGUGAAAAAGCCAAAAAAGAAGACCGCAA
Molecule: transfer RNA, 356 nt
Filed under: uncultured Microcystis sp.
Lineage: Bacteria; Bacillati; Cyanobacteriota; Cyanophyceae; Chroococcales; Microcystaceae
Description: partial 16S-23S ribosomal RNA intergenic spacer
Rfam family: tRNA (bases 133-206)
Source: RNAcentral